Chlorocebus sabaeus (green monkey) is the source of this 2285-nucleotide non-coding RNA. NCBI's taxonomy places the organism in Eukaryota, Metazoa, Chordata, Mammalia, Primates, Cercopithecidae. The record is from RefSeq and is a predicted model, not a curated record.
GCCACUUUGGAGGCCUCAUGCUUCUGAGUCAACUGGCUAUAUUACGGUGCUGACUGGGUAACUCAUCCAGACUAGGAAGGGGAAACUGGAUUACUACUCCAUUGGAUGAAAGGAAGAGUAUGCCUGGAAUACAGGAGAUCCCUUAGGGUGUCUGUUAAUAUUACCAUGCCCCACGAUCAAGGUCAAUGGGAAACCACAACACAAUCCAGGGAGGACUACGAAUGACCAGGAUUCCUCAGGAAUAAAGGUUCAACACAAUCCAGGGAGGACUACAAAUGACCCAGAUUCCUCAGGAAUAAAGGUUCAACACAAUCCAGGGAGGACUACCAGUGACCCAGAGUCCUCAGGAAUAAAGGCUCAACACAAUCCAGGGAGGACUACGAGUGACCCAAAUUCCUCAGGAAUAAAGGUUCAAUCACCCCACCAGGUAAUGAACCAAGACCAGCUGAGCUGCUUGCUGCAGGUAAAAUUAUACAGAAUGGGUAGUGGAAGGCAGUCACAAAUACUAGCUAUGGCCGGGUAACUAGUUACAGAAACAAGGACAGUAAUUGUCAUGAGUAUUUUCUUCCUAUCUUGUUAAGGAUAUGUUUUGGUGUACAUAUUAUACAUGUUAUGCUUACAUUAAGCAAAUAUCUUUGGUUUUGCUCCUCUCUUAUCCCUUUAUUAUAUAUAACAAGAUUUUUUGACUUUAUAUCAAAAUUUACGUGUUGUUAAUUUUACAUCAUAGUGUUUCAAUUAUCAUCCAAAGACUUCACCUUCUCUUCUAGGGAAGAGAUUAGCACAUUUUCUGCUGUAUGCAGAUAGUUUCACCGUGUUAGGUGGAACUAUUUUCUUGUUAUUGUCUUCAUUUGGAGGUUAAGUUUGGUUUAAAGGAAGCAUAGAGGUGCCAAGUUGACAAAAGGUGGACCUGUGAUGAUUAACUUUAGGUGUCAGUUUGACUGGAUUAAGGAACACCUGGAGAGUUGGUAAAGCAUGAUUUUGGGGUGUGUCUGUGGGGGGUUUCCAGAGGAGACUGGCAUGUCAGUCUACGUGGAUUCAGUGGGGAAGAUCCACCCUCACUGUAUGUGGGCACCAUCCCCAUAGGCUGGGACCUGGACAGAACAAAAAAGAGGCGAGGCGAAUAGGUUGCUUCCCUGGAGCUCGGACACACUCUUCUCCCGCCCUUGGCCAGCAGAACUCCAGGCUCUCUCAACUGUGGACUCGAGGACUUAGCCCAGCAACCCCCACUCCCACCUCAGGUUCUCAGGCCCUGGAACUUGCACCGAACAAGACUACUGGCAUUCCAGGGUCCGCCAUAUGUGGAUGGCUGUCACGGGACUUCUCAGAUUCCAUAAUCAGGUGAGCCAAUUCCCCUCAUAAAUCUCCUCCCAUUGAUUUUUAUGUCUCUGGAGAACCCUGAGUAACACAGACCUGUAUACCUUGCACUCUUUUCAACAGCUCUUAACUGCAAAGCAAUUCAAAGUAGCCAUGUCCACAGCAAGCUCGUAAUGAACUUAUUACAGGCUCAUAAUAGCGUCUUAUUUCUGUACUUUCUAUUUCAAUGAAUGUCCCACCAGCCAUUCGAUUAGGCCAGUCAAAAAAUGGGGUGUCAUCCUUGAUAUGACUCUGAUUCCUCUGAUGAUAUGCAGUCUAUCACCAAGUCUCAAUGAUUAAGGGUCUUUCAAAUCUGUGUGCAUUUCUCCAUUUCCACCCAUCACUGUAGCCUAAGCCACCAUCCUCUCUCAACUCUUGCCUUGCAUCUCAAACGGUCUCCAGGUGCACUCAGGCCCACUCAUAAGCAUUUCUCCCCAUUGCAGCCAAAAUUAUAUUUAAACAAACAAACAAAGCAUUUUUCAGGUCAUCAUUUUCCCCUCAGCCCAGCCUCACUCAUAUCUUCUAUUCUUUUAAUAGAAAUGAGGCUCCUAAAUGUGCCUUACAGACUUGGCAUUGUCUCCACCUGCUCUGACCUCCAGCUCCAUUGGCUUGCUUUUCUCCUUCCUGCCCUGUGGCAUUUGCACAUUCUGUUCCUUCUCUAUGAAACCCUCCCUAACCAAACUAACUCCAGCUCCUUCAUGUCUACAGUCAGAGAAGCCUGCUCUGGCAUUUUUAACGAGUCCAAAUCCUCCUCUCAAAUUGGCAACAGGCAGUUCUAGGUAGCUCUCCAUUCAAUCCACUAGCGCCCUUGCCAUCUCACUUCAGUUUGUGAUUAUUUAAAGUCUAUCUCCAGGGCCGGGUGCAGUGACUCAUGCCUGUAAUCUCAGCACUUUGGGAUCCCAAGGCAGGCAGGAGUUCGAGACCAGCCUGGC